UUAGACUAUUAUUGUUUCAAUUACAUCAGCUUAUCACCAUCAGAGAACCACCAACAGAAUAAUACACACGCACACAUUUUACUAUAUUUCUAUCUAUUACAAGUACAGAUCAGUUUUUGUAAAUAGAAAUGAAUGAAAAUGAACAGAAUUGAAACCCUAAGUGCUCUAUGUGUGUUUUGUGCGUGUGACUGGAAUUUGGGGGGGUGAGAGCAGCCGGCGGCUGCUCGCGGCCGGAGGCGGCGCGGCGGCAGUCGCCGCCUUUUUCCUUUGUCUGUCUGAAACGAGAGAAAGAUGGUUAGGGCUGCUGUAAAAAAAAAAAAAAGAGAGAGAAGAGAAGGUAGAACAGGGGAGGGAGAGAGAGAGAUAGGAGGGAGGACUUAUCUUCUCCGGUGACGACGACGCGGCGGCAUCGGCAGCGGCGACGCGGCGGCGGAAGCACCGAGCUGUUCCUGGUCGGCCGGAAAAGAGGAAAAGAGGGGGAGCUCAGAUCUGGAGCCUACCUUCCCGGCGAUGCAAGGCUCGGCCUCCACCGCGAUUCCAGCCAGACGAACGACGGAGGAGGCGACGGACGGCGGCCGAGCUCCUUCACG
Molecule: long non-coding RNA, 590 nt
Filed under: Salvia miltiorrhiza (redroot sage)
Lineage: Eukaryota; Viridiplantae; Streptophyta; Magnoliopsida; Lamiales; Lamiaceae
Description: long non-coding RNA (SMIL_LNC005995)
Source: RNAcentral